Molecule: long non-coding RNA, 382 nt
Organism: Haliotis rufescens (red abalone)
Lineage: Eukaryota; Metazoa; Mollusca; Gastropoda; Lepetellida; Haliotidae
Exons: 3
Source: RefSeq, a predicted model, not a curated record
GGUAUUUGAUGUAACAUACAAAACUAACCCUACGAAUGUGGCCUUUUCCGAAGAAAGGUUACAGUUACACAUGGAUCAAAUUGCUUAUGAAUCACCACCAGGAAUCCAGUGUCUUCAUUGUCUAAGAUUUGACAAGGAGGUUAAGGGUGGUCAUUCCUUCUUUGUCGACAUCUUUCACGUUGCUGAGACUUUGAGGACAACAUACCCUGAGGAAUUUCAAAACCUUUUGCGCAUACCAGCAACGUUCAAUAACAUCUUCUAUGCCAGAGAGGCCCAAUUCCAUAUGGUGUACCAACGACCGCACAUUACACUCAACCAUGAUGGAAUGGUAUCGAAGUAUUAUAUCUUUUAAAUGAUCCACCAGAAAAGAAAAGAACCUCAG